GAUAUAUAUUUCGAACACGAUAAUCGAAGUAAUUCGAUCGUUCAUGUACAUUCUAAUCAUGUGCAAAAUGAUUAGAUUCAAUAUAAACAAUUAUUAGUACAACAAUUAUUAAUUUAGAGGGAGAAGUAAACGGUGCACCUUCUGACAAUUGUACCAUUAGAAAGGUAUAUACAUAGUUAAACAAUUCGCACGCCUUAUCACGUGCUGAUAAAUGUGCAUGUAGUGUGCACGUAUGCAUAUGCACAUGUGUGUGUACAUGCUAUGAACACGACGACAAGAGCCACUAUAUCAAAAGCAGUGGCGUAGCUAACGACAUAUUAGGUUGCUGCAUAAAUUCUGCCUGUUAGAGUUCACUUGAGGCAUAAUCAAUUUUAUAUGUGAUAUGGCCGUGAAUUGUCAAUAAAAUAAGUGUAAAAGAUUGAUGUAUGUGCAUGGAUACAAGAAUAAGAUGAAGUCAUUCUUUCCUUAAGUAGUAUAGAACUUGAUAUCGAGAGAUGUAAGGAACCUGAUAAAUGUAAGAAUAAUAUGAAAUUUCAUCCACUGAUGGCGUUUAAAUAUCACUGGUACCGUUAUCAAUACCGUUUGAUUUUGAUCGUAUCAUUAACCGUGAACAUAUCAACUACAUAUGUCUCUUAAAAAUUAAUAUAUACAAUUAAUGUGAUACUAAACAAUUAUGAUACUAAUUUGAUAAUAUAAUACUUUUAGAAAAGAGAUUUAAUAUUGUGAAUAUUGUUGAGGAAGAAUUUGAUCUCUGAAAAAUAUUCUAAUUAAAAUUUCAAGAAUUCCUAAUUUAA
Long non-coding RNA from Megachile rotundata (alfalfa leafcutting bee), 794 nucleotides. RefSeq lists it as uncharacterized. The record is from RefSeq and is a predicted model, not a curated record. Lineage: Eukaryota; Metazoa; Arthropoda; Insecta; Hymenoptera; Megachilidae.